This 55-nucleotide unclassified non-coding RNA is filed under the name Sorangium cellulosum So ce56. RNAcentral describes it as "sce_snoPyro_CD_1". The record is from RNAcentral. Lineage: Bacteria; Pseudomonadati; Myxococcota; Polyangiales; Polyangiaceae.
CGACGGCGCCGCCGAGCGGCUCGCGCGUGGCGACCUCAUCACCCCUCGGACCGAG